RNAcentral lists this unclassified non-coding RNA (788 nucleotides) under Hevea brasiliensis (rubber tree). Lineage: Eukaryota; Viridiplantae; Streptophyta; Magnoliopsida; Malpighiales; Euphorbiaceae. The record is from RNAcentral.
GAGAGAGAGGUGGUUAGGGUUUUGAAUCCGGAGAGAGCUGAUGCGUUCUUCGUGCCAUUUUUCUCCUCUUUGAGCUUCAAUACGCAUGGCCAUAACAUGACUGAUCCUGAGACCGAGAAGGAUCGCCAAUUGCAGGUAUUUUUUAUCAUUUAUUCAAUUUACAAUGUGUAUAUUUUAGAGGAUUUUUAUUAAUAGGCAAUUAGUCAUUGAAUCUUGAUCUAGUUUGUGUUUAACAGCUUUGGAAACUGGAGGAAAGAGAGCCAAAUAAACAAAAGCAGCUGAAUAAUUAGUUGUUGUAACUAGUCAGCUAUUUUUUUAGCACGAAGAGCUAAAAUUUGCAGACUAUAGCCUUAGUUUUUUUAGAAAAUUAGAUAGAUUCAUUUCUGAUUGUAGGGAAAUUCAGAACUCAAUGAUGUAUAGAUUCUAUUAUUAGCUGCAGUUUGAUUGAUGAGUGUAAAAUUUGAAAAUAUGGAAUGUGGAAAUCAUUUGGUGAAUCAUUUUAAAAGAACUUAGAUCUUCUGCUGCGGUUUUCUUACUGAAGCAGUUGUGCAUAACAAACUAUUGAGCUCACAAGUUGUGAAAUAGCAUGGUUUUCAGCAAUCUCCUCAAGGAAAUGGUUCUAUGUAUCUAUGCUUAAGAAGGUAAGAAAGGGAAAAAGUUACCAUUAUACUGAAUUAGUCAGGUUAUAAGUGCUUCUAUAUGUUUAUAGUUGGCAAAAGAAAGAGCCGAGGACAUGAACCAAUCGUUCCUUUGAAAAUUUUAUUAUAGUGUUUAACUUGUGAAAAGUU